Molecule: ribosomal RNA, 442 nt
Filed under: uncultured bacterium
Lineage: Bacteria
Description: partial 16S ribosomal RNA
Rfam family: Bacterial small subunit ribosomal RNA
Source: RNAcentral
CCUACGGGAUGCAGCAGUGGGGAAUAUUGGGCAAUGGGCGCAAGCCUGAUCCAGCAACGCCGCGUGAAGGAAGAAGGCUUUCGGCUUGUAAACUUCUUUUAAGAGGGAAGAGCAGAAGACGGUACCUCUUGAAUAAGCCACGGCUCACUGCGGGCAAGCCGCCGCGGUAAUACGUAGGUGGCACGCGUUGUCCGGAUUUACUGGGUGUAAAGGGCGUGUAGCCGGGCUGAAAAGUCAGAUGUGAAAUUCCGGGGCGCAACCCCGGACCUGCAUUUGAAACUGUUGGUCUGGAGUAUCGGAGAGGCAGGCGGAAUUCCUAGUGUAGCGGUGAAAUGCGUAGAUAUUAGGAGGAACACCAGUGGCGAAGGCGGCCUGCUGGACGACAACUGACGGUGAGGCGCGAAAGCGUGGGGAGCAAACAGGAUUAGAUACCCUGGUAGUC